RNAcentral lists this ribosomal RNA (414 nucleotides) under uncultured bacterium. Its description in RNAcentral is "bacterial SSU rRNA". It matches the Rfam family "Bacterial small subunit ribosomal RNA", at positions 508 to 921 of the family's 1533-position model. The record is from RNAcentral.
UCAGCCGCCGCGGUAAUACGUGGGGUGCAAGCGUUGUUCGGAAUUACUGGGCGUAAAGCGCGUGUAGGCGGUCUGUUAUGUCAGGUGUGAAAGCCCUCGGCCUAACCGAGGAAGUGCGCCUGAAACUGGCAGUCCUGAGUACGAGAGAGGAGGACGGAAUUCCCAGUGUAGAGGUGAAAUUCGUAGAUAUUGGGAGGAACACCGGCGGCGAAAGCGGUCCUCUGGAUCGAUACUGACGCUAAGACGCGAAAGCGUGGGUAGCAAACAGGAUUAGAUACCCUGGUAGUCCACGCUGUAAACGAUGGAUAUUAGAUGUUGCGGGUUUAAACCUCGCAGUGUCGACGCUAACGCAUUAAAUAUCCCGCCUGGGGAGUACGGCCGCAAGGUUAAAACUUAAAGGAAUUGGCGGGGGAU